CGUGGGCUGUGUAUGGCGCUUGCAUAUUUCGCAAAACU
Molecule: ribosomal RNA, 38 nt
Filed under: Arbutus unedo
Lineage: Eukaryota; Viridiplantae; Streptophyta; Magnoliopsida; Ericales; Ericaceae
Description: 5.8S ribosomal RNA
Source: RNAcentral